This 421-nucleotide ribosomal RNA is filed under the name uncultured Dysgonomonas sp. RNAcentral's name for it is "bacterial SSU rRNA". It matches the Rfam family "Bacterial small subunit ribosomal RNA", at positions 356 to 774 of the family's 1533-position model. Lineage: Bacteria; Pseudomonadati; Bacteroidota; Bacteroidia; Bacteroidales; Dysgonomonadaceae. The record is from RNAcentral.
GAGGAAUAUUGGUCAAUGGGCGAGAGCCUGAACCAGCCAAGUCGCGUGAAGGAAGACUGCCUUAUGGGUUGUAAACUUCUUUUAUACAGGAAUAAAAAGGCUUACGUGUAGGCCAUUGCAAGUACUGUAUGAAUAAGCAUCGGCUAACUCCGUGCCAGCAGCCGCGGUAAUACGGAGGAUGCGAGCGUUAUCCGGAUUUAUUGGGUUUAAAGGGAGCGUAGGCGGACUAUUAAGUCAGCUGUGAAAGUUUACGGCUCAACCGUGAAAUUGCAGUUGAAACUGGUCGUCUUGAGUAUGGAUGAAGUAGGCGGAAUUCGUUGUGUAGCGGUGACAUGCAUAGAUAUAACGAGGAACUCCGAUUGCGUAGGCAGCUUACUAAGCCAUAACUGACGCUCAUGCACGAAAGCGUGGGGAUCAAACA